Molecule: non-coding RNA, 201 nt
Filed under: Pantoea sp. AG702
Lineage: Bacteria; Pseudomonadati; Pseudomonadota; Gammaproteobacteria; Enterobacterales; Erwiniaceae
Description: GcvB RNA
Rfam family: GcvB RNA
About the family: The gcvB gene encodes a small untranslated RNA involved in expression of the dipeptide and oligopeptide transport systems in Escherichia coli. Included several unknown homologues in alignment (Bateman A pers obs).
Source: RNAcentral
ACUUCCUGAGCCGGAACGAAAAGUUUUUUAGAUUUGUGAGUGAGUUCGCAGAUUUUCUGAAAGCUUUUGGCUUGUGGUCGUGAUGUUGUGUUUGCAAUUUUGAUCUGACCUUUACAGAUCAAGCUUUUUUAAUUCCUGUAGAUUUACCCUGUCUGUCCAUUGUGAUAUUGAGUAGCACCGCAAAUUGCGGUGCUUUUUUUA